RNAcentral lists this ribosomal RNA (1439 nucleotides) under uncultured bacterium. RNAcentral's name for it is "bacterial SSU rRNA". It matches the Rfam family "Bacterial small subunit ribosomal RNA". The record is from RNAcentral.
AGGGUUUGAUCAUGGCUCAGAACGUACGCUGGCGGCACGCCUAACACAUGCAAGUCGAACGAAGUAGCAAUACUUAGUGGCAGACGGGUGAGUAACAUGUGGGUAUCUGCCCUUUGGCCUGGAAUAACACGAGGAAACUUGUGCUAAUACCGGAUAAGUCUUUACAGAGAAAGCUUUAUGCACCAAUGGAUGAGCCUGCACUUGAUUAGUUUGUUGGUGGGGUAAUGGCCUACCAAGACUGUGAUCAAUAGCUGAUUUGAGAGGAUGAUCAGCCACAUUGGGACUGAGACACGGCCCAAACUCCUACGGGAGGCAGCAGUAGGGAAUCUUGCACAAUGGGGGAAACCCUGAUGCAGCGAUGCCGCGUGAGUGAAGAAGGCCUUUGGGUUGUAAAGCUCUUUCGUCGGGGAAGAAAAUGACUGUACCCGAAUAAGAAGGUCCGGCUAACUUCGUGCCAGCAGCCGCGGUAAUACGAAGGGACCUAGCGUAGUUCGGAAUUACUGGGCUUAAAGAGUUCGUAGGUGGUUAAAAAAGUUGGUGGUGAAAUCCCAGAGCUUAACUCUGGAACUGCCAUCAAAACUUUUUAGCUAGAGUAUGAUAGAGGAAAGCAGAAUUUCUAGUGUAGAGGUGAAAUUCGUAGAUAUUAGAAAGAAUACCAAUUGCGAAGGCAGCUUUCUGGAUCAUUACUGACACUGAGGAACGAAAGCAUGGGUAGCGAAGAGGAUUAGAUACCCUCGUAGUCCAUGCCGUAAACGAUGUGUGUUAGACGUUGGAAAUUUAUUUUCAGUGUCGCAGCGAAAGCAAUAAACACACCGCCUGGGGAGUACGACCGCAAGGUUAAAACUCAAAUGAAUUGACGGGGACCCGCACAAGUAGUGGAGCAUGUGGUUUAAUUCGAAGAUACGCGCAGAACCUUACCAACACUUGACAUGUUCGUCGCGACUUUAAGAGAUUAAAGUUUUCGGUUCGGCCGGACGAAACACAGGUGCUGCAUGGCUGUCGUCAGCUCGUGUCGUGAGAUGUUGGGUUAAGUCCCGCAACGAGCGCAACCCUCACUUUUAGUUGCCAUCAUUAAGUUGGGCACUCUGAAAGAACUGCCAGUGAUAAGCUGGAGGAAGGUGGGGAUGACGUCAAGUCCUCAUGGCCCUUACGUGUUGGGCUACACACGUGCUACAAUGGUAUCUACAACAGGAAGCAAAACUGCGAGGUUAAGCAAAUCCUUAAAAGAUACCUCAGUUCGGAUUGCACUCUGCAACUCGAGUGCAUGAAGCUGGAAUUACUAGUAAUCGUGGAUCAGCGUGCCACGGUGAAUGCGUUCCCGGGUCUUGUACACACCGCCCGUCACACCAUGGGAGUUGGUUCUACCUUAAGGCAAGGUUUAAAACCCUUGACCACGGUAUAGUCAGCGACUGGGGUGAAGUCAUAACAAGGUAGCCGUA